This is a long non-coding RNA of Etheostoma spectabile (orangethroat darter), 166 nucleotides long. RefSeq lists it as uncharacterized. The transcript has 3 exons. Lineage: Eukaryota; Metazoa; Chordata; Actinopteri; Perciformes; Percidae. The record is from RefSeq and is a predicted model, not a curated record.
ACAGUAUACAGUCAGUGGCAUCUGACUCAUUUUAGAUCAUGGGCCACAUACCCCUAAUUUGAUCUCAAGUGGGCCGGACUAGUAAACCACUCCAGAAAGAUCAGAAACUUAACCUGCCACAGAGUUUCAAGUCAGUUUGAUGUUGGCAAACACAAGUUACUUCUGC